CCUACGGGGGGCUGCAGUGAGGAAUAUUGGUCAAUGGCCGGAAGGCUGAACCAGCCAAGCCGCGUGCGGGAGGAAGGCGCAGAGCGUCGCAGACCUCUUUUGCCGGGGGACAAAAGGCCGGACGGGUCCGGUUCUGAGGGUACCCGGAGAAAAAGCAUCGGCUAACUACGUGCCAGCAGCCGCGGUAAUACGUAGGUGGCAAGCGUUGUCCGGAUUUACUGGGUGUCAAGGGCGUGCAGCCGGGAAUACAAGUCAGAUGUGAAAUCCCGCGGAUCACCCGCGGAACUGCAUUUGAAACUGUUGUUAGUGAGUACAGGAGAGGUCAUCGGAAUUCCUGGUGUAGCGGUGAAAUGCGUAGAUAUAAGGAAGAACACCAGUGGCGAAGGCGGAUGACUGGACGGCAACUGACGGUGAGGCGCGAAAGCGUGGGGAGCAAACAGGAUUAGAUACCCCAGUAGUC
This 460-nucleotide ribosomal RNA is filed under the name uncultured bacterium. RNAcentral's name for it is "partial 16S ribosomal RNA". It matches the Rfam family "Bacterial small subunit ribosomal RNA", at positions 338 to 795 of the family's 1533-position model. The record is from RNAcentral.